RNAcentral lists this ribosomal RNA (492 nucleotides) under uncultured bacterium. Its description in RNAcentral is "partial 16S ribosomal RNA". It matches the Rfam family "Bacterial small subunit ribosomal RNA", at positions 29 to 507 of the family's 1533-position model. The record is from RNAcentral.
AGUGAACGCUGGCGGUAGGCCUAACACAUGCAAGUCGAACGGCAGCACAGUAAGAGCUUGCUCUUACGGGUGGCGAGUGGCGGACGGGUGAGGAAUACAUCGGAAUCUACUUUUUCGUGGGGGAUAACGUAGGGAAACUUACGCUGAUACCGCAUCCGACCUACGGGUGAAAGCAGGGGAUCUUCGGCCCUUGCGCGAUUGAAUGAGCCGAUGUCGGAUUAGCUAGUUGGCGGGGUAAAGGCCCACCACGGCGACGAUCCGUAGCUGGUCUGAGAGGAUGAUCAGCCACACUGGAACGGAGACACGGUCCAGACGCCUACGGGAGGCAGCAGUGGGGAAUAUUGGACAAUGGGCGCAAGCCUGAUCCAGCCAUACCGCGUGUGUGAAGAAGGCCUUCGGGUUGUAAAGCCCUUUUGUUGGGAAAGAAAAGCAUCAGGUUAAUACCCCGCUGUUCUGACGGUACCCAAAGAAUAAGCACCGGCUAACUUCGUG